This 404-nucleotide ribosomal RNA is filed under the name uncultured prokaryote. Its description in RNAcentral is "bacterial SSU rRNA". It matches the Rfam family "Bacterial small subunit ribosomal RNA", at positions 355 to 776 of the family's 1533-position model. RNAcentral also lists the same sequence under 1 other name. The record is from RNAcentral.
UGGGGAAUAUUGCGCAAUGGGGGAAACCCUGACGCAGCAACGCCGCGUGAAGGAUGAAGGUUUUCGGAUUGUAAACUUCUUUGAUGAGGGACGAUAAUGACGGUACCUCAAAAACAAGCCACGGCUAACUACGUGCCAGCAGCCGCGGUAAUACGUAGGUGGCAAGCGUUGUCCGGAUUUACUGGGUGUAAAGGGCGUGUAGGCGGGAAAGCAAGUCAGAUGUGAAAUACCGGGGCUUAACUCCGGGGCUGCAUCUGAAACUGUUUUUCUUGAGUGUCGGAGAGGAAAGCGGAAUUCCUAGUGUAGCGGUGAAAUGCGUAGAUAUUAGGAGGAACACCAGUGGCGAAGGCGGCUUUCUGGACGACAACUGACGCUGAGGCGCGAAAGCGUGGGGAGCAAACAGG